AUACGGAGGGUGCAAGCGUUGCUCGGAAUCACUGGGCGUAAAGCGUACGCAGGCGGCGUGUUAAGUCGGGUGUGAAAGCCCGGGGCUCAACCCCGGAAUUGCAUUCGAAACUGGCAUGCUUGAGUACGGGAGAGGGAAGCGGAAUUCCUGGUGUAGAGGUGAAAUUCGUAGAUAUCAGGAGGAACAUCAGUGGCGAAAGCGGCUUCCUGGCCCGAUACUGACGCUCAUGUACGAAAGCGCGGGGAGCAAACAGGAUUAGAUACCCUAGUAGUCCACGCCGUAAACGAUGAGUGCUAGCUGCUGGGAAUGUCUACCGUUUCAGUGGCGAAGCUAACGCAUUAAGCACUCCGCCUGGGGAGUACGGCCGCAAGGCUAAA
This 377-nucleotide ribosomal RNA is filed under the name uncultured bacterium. RNAcentral describes it as "bacterial SSU rRNA". It matches the Rfam family "Bacterial small subunit ribosomal RNA", at positions 523 to 898 of the family's 1533-position model. The record is from RNAcentral.